Molecule: long non-coding RNA, 32759 nt
Filed under: Gallus gallus (chicken)
Lineage: Eukaryota; Metazoa; Chordata; Aves; Galliformes; Phasianidae
Source: RNAcentral
CUGACCUUGAGCCGCGGCCCCGGCUGCGUGCCGUGAGUACCGCCGGGGCGGGACGGAGCAUCCGCGCGCUCCCAGAGCGGCAGCGGGGGGUACCUCGCGGCGCAGCACGAUGCCUGGCGGCUCGCCGCGGGCGGGGCGGACGCCCUUCAGGAUACUAAAGCAGAGUGCAAUUCCUCUGUAGAAACUGAGGACAGAAAAGUAAGUGGCUUGUAUUAAUGUCAUUUAUUCGGGCAGCUCCAGUAAGUUACUCUUUCAUUGUAUUUUUUCUUCUUAAUUUAACCAUGUUAAAUUAUGUUUUUUUAUGUGUAUGUGUUAAAGUUUCCUGAUAGCAUUGCUAAUGUAGUUGUAUUAUUACUUCAGUAGGUACGAAACUACCUUACUCGAUUGAGGGAACUUGUUAGAAGAUUUCUCUUCCUUAUUUAGAAGAGAAUUAAAAACACUUAAAAGCAGGAGAUGCAGAAAGCUGUCUUCUAGCAGCUCUCAAGUUGUGUUUUGAAACAGUGGGUUUUUGUGAUUAAUUUAGCGUUAGUUUAACUGUGCCAUAAUGUGUGAUAUUGAAGUUCUGUGGUUCAACUUUCCAAAGUUGUUUUUGUUAUUUUUGGACUUCUUUAGGCUACUGCAUCUUUCCAUGAAUAUUCAGCAGCUCCUCUUUUUCUUAAUAACAACCAAGUUAGUUUUGCUGGAAAUGAAAAAGUUUAUAAACCAACAUAAUCCCAUAUGCACUUGAGUUAUCAAGUUCAGAUUGUAUUAAGUACUGUUAUACAGGUCUAGUAUAAUAUGUUGUUGAAGUUACUGCAGGAGAGGACAAUUCAUUUUUGUUAUGUGAUGAAGGUUCUACAGAAUUUCGAUGAUUUACAACGUUUUCAGGAACAAAGGAAAUUAUUUUGAGUUGCACAAAAACAUAGUAAGAAUUCAAUUAAGAUACUGAAAUGUGAGUGUAAUUAGCUUGCAAACGCAAGAACUUGUAUGAAGAGUUGUCUAGUUGUCCUCAUUUCCUUAAUUUGUUGGAGUUUUUUUUAAAGAACAUAGAUGUUAUAAUUAGCUAUUGUUGCAUGGCAUUUCAUGCUUGGUCUCAGAACUGGAGCUUCUGCUGAGCUGAAAUUGAAGCUUUACUUUUCAGUCCAGGGGUAUGGAUUACUAAUGACCUAUUCUGAGAUAAUCAAAUAAAAACAUAUCAAUUUUAUGAAAUAACAACGUGGUUUUUUUUACUGCUUGUUGCAUUGCAUGUGUUUAUUGAUACUGUAAAUUAGGGACUUAGUGUAAUUUGUAGAACCUGUAACAUUGUAAAUAAAUAUUUUUAUGUUGAAAUCAAGACAAACUACUGCAAUUAAGACAUGCAUAAUUAGCAUUUCAUAAUUUGCACUUCCUUAAUGAAAUAUAUUACUAAUGAACUAUAUCAUUAGUGAUUAAUGAAAAAUGUUCCAAGCUAACAACAAAAUGUCUGCAAGGUGCCUUCCUUUUCUUACAAACUUUCUUCCUGAUGCUUCUUAAUCUCUACUUUAUGAAGUGGAAAUUUAUGAAGCCAUUAAUGAAGUUUUGCCUGAAGAUGAACUUAAAUUUUGUAAAAGUAGUUAUUAUUUUGAAAUCUAUUAUUCUGCAAAUGUGAAAGUAUAACCUAAUUUCCUUAAUCACAUUAUCUCUAUGUUCUGUGUUGCUCUUAAUUGUUACUUCUCCUGAACGUUUUAUGUAAGAUUCCACCAUUUUUUUUUUCCUAAGGAUAGAAGUCUUAAGUUUUAAAAUAACAGCUGACAAGUAGCCAGUAGUGUGUAGUAAUUGACCGGUAUUAUUAGGCAUUGCUAAGCUGUGUCUGCCACAACCAGAUGUAGAACCUCUCUAUGGAUGACUCAUUUCCCACCUAACCAGUCCUCUUUUCUGUUGCACACCCAGCCCUUCUUUACUUUGUUUUCAUACCUUCUUUCUGAGCAACCAAUAUUAGAUAUUUCGUGAGUCAUGUGAUUAUGCAAAUAUCUAAGUCUUGCUGUUAUUAAAACUACAUGUAGAAACACAAUCAUUAAAUUUUCACAGGAAAGAAGCCUGUUAUAACCAUGUGAAUUGUGACUUGGUGAAAACAGUGAUUUCUGAAGCUGGUUUCAUGUUUUUGGAAUUUGAGUCAAUUUUAAAGCCUGUGGUGUUUUUCAGCGUGAGAUCUCAAUCUUCAAAGGGUAACCAAGUGAUGUUUGUUAGUUUGUUUUACCCAUGUAUUCCAAUAAGUGUGUGUUGGGAGCAAAACCAAUGAUUGUUUGAAGGAAUUCAUGAAAGUAUUGUCCCUUUUGCUGGAAGGGAGGGCCAUGUAGAUUCCUUUGUGAUCUUCUCUUCCUUAUGAUACAAACAAGCUCUUGUCUCAGCAUCACUUUAAGAUUGCUAGCAUGUAAAGCAGUAUUUUUCAGUUGCUCUUAUACCAGUUUAAUCAGUUUUCAAUAGCUGAAAUACUUGCCCCAAAUAUAUUUUCCCACUUUUUUUUUUAUUCCAAGUUCUUGUAUUUAUUUGGUCUUAAAACAUGUGGGAGAGAACUGCUGUAUGGAAUUUGCAUUGAACAGAAGUCUUCAGAAGUACAGGAGAAAAAAAAAAAAAAGAAAAAUCCCUGGAAGCAAUAUUUCUCCCUGUUUUAUUCUGUCUUUAAAUUCUGAACAGAACAUGAGGGAAUACUUUGUUUUGCUUUGCAAUUGUUGCCUUGUCAUCGAAGAAAUUCCAAUGCUGUGAAACCAACGUUCUGGUAUGGGGUUAUCUUCCUCAUGCUGUCCCACCCUCCCUUUUUCUUUAUUCUGAGAUGGGGAACUGUUUGAGCCACUGAAAUCUGACUGGAAAGUUAAUUUACAAUGGCUGUUCUGUGCUGGGUAAUUCUGCUGCAUCUGGAUUUCACGGUGCUUGGGAUGUUUUGUUCUUCCUAUUUGGUUUCUUCAUUUUUGUUUGAUUUCAGCGUACUCUUUUUAGUAAUAGACUCACAUUUGCUGUAAUGUGCAGUGACAUUCUCUUCAGCAUAGCUUGCAGGAAAGUAAAUGCUGACCAUUAACUAGCAGCUAUGUUAUGAGCUUGGUAACUGAAGGUCACUCAGGAUAUCUUGCUUCAUUUUCUUUUCUUGAAGUAGCUCAUGGAGGGAACAUUUUUGAGAUGCAUCUUGACUUAAAAAUUUACCACAUUUGAGCUCAGAGUGCAGAGGCUUUAUGAGAGCAAUAGACUUAAUGGGUGUGCAUUAGGUCAAUAACAUGAUAGGUCAGUAAGUAAGAAAAUUUCCCUGUAGCGACAUAAUGUUUCAUCGCUCUCCAUUACCUUCUGUGGGAUAUGGCACAGGCAGCAAUGCCUUUCCUUACUUGUUCUGAAGAAAAAAAUGUAUCAUUUUUGUUUUUAGUACCAUCUGUCAGAGGAUUUUCAGGCACUUCACAAACAAAUUAAAAACACUUUUAAGGAAAGUACUUACAUUUAUAUUGCUCAAGUUAAAUAUGCGGAAAUAGAAUUAUGAAGGAAAGCCAGAGGGAAGGCUGCAGAGUUAGUCCAAGGAAAAACAGGAAGGCAAAGAACGUUGGUUUACAACUAUACUGUACUCAGCUCAUCCUAUAGCUUCUUGUAAUCUUUUAUUUAUUCAAUUUAAUGAUAAUUUCCAAAUAUUUUCCAUAAAAGUUUAAGGGAAAACUUUGUCUUAGUAGUAGGAAAAGAAUUACUUUAACAUUUUUCUUUAAGUUACUUACUGUGAGUGGAAAUUAAUAAGGGUAUCAAAUAAGAAAGAGCUUAUGAGUCAGUCUGUCCAUGAUGCUUCUUAACUGCAGACACCUAAGAUAUCACUAUAAUUGUAUGCUGUUUCCUUUUGUUGUGAACCCUUCUUCUGCUGUUUAGGACCUGCCUAUCAGUGAAUAUCAAGUAUCUUUUUUAACCUCUUUGAGGGCAUUAUGCAGCUUAUAUGAUUUUGGAAUGUUUGGGGUGAAUUUUUUCCUCAUGUUAAAAGGAAUUUUUUGUUGAGUAAAGAUUGCAGACUCCAAUCUAUUGUACCAAGGUAUUCUAUACAAGUAUCUUUAUUGUGUUAGGUGAUUGUGUUCUGUGAAUUGUGUUUGGGUAUAGAUUCAGUGGAAUCUUAAGGAACGCUAAUGGACCUCCUGGUGUUUGCCUGAGUGAACAAAUAAUUCCUAUUUCUUCUGCCUCUUUAGCUGUGGGAAAAAUAAGAGUAUUAUUGAGGCAUUGUCUGACAGGAUAGAAUGUAGAAGAAACAAGUGGGAAUAAUGCACGAGUUAGAAUAACGAGCUGUUCAGAUAAUAUCUACCUGUCACUGUAUGCCAAAGGUUCCCACUGAGAUCUCAGCUCUUAAGUUGGAUUUGAAUGACAUUUCUGGAGUCCUUUUCAUCACAGAGGUGAAUUUUUUCAGAAGGGUAAAAUAAUCUCAGGUUUAUUUUCUCUUGCAGAAAAGUUGCUUGAAAUCUGUGGCUGCCUCCUCAGUAAUAGUUUUAAUUAGAGACUUUGUGCACUCCAGAUAACCACAAGCUCAGGCAGUGAGUUGAAUCAGACCUGUAUUCUGAGUAUAAUUUUAUAUUAUUUUUAUAUGAGAAUGUAUAAUUCUUAAUCUAACUCUUAUACUUUUAGUGAUAUCUUUGAAAUCAAAGGAUCCUCCGUUUCCUUGUCUUAGUUGAUGUUCUUUGCAAGUAGAAGCAUUAGUUAUGGAAAUAUGGACAGCCAAAGCUUGCCUUAGAACCCAAUGUGCAGUGCUGGUCGGCCUAAUAAAUAUUGGCAAUACUGAAGUGAGGAAAGAGUCAGAAAUCCCGUCAAUCUCCUGGUAUGUAGAUUGUCACAGUACAAAGCCUUGUUGGAAGGUUCCAUAGUAUUUGAAUGAUCAUAAUGGCAGUCCUAUUACUGCUCUCUUGUUCUUUCUGUCACUGGCAUGCAAUUACGGAAUUUCACAACUGAAGUGAUGACAAUUGCUGGUGUGUGUGUCUGUCUUUCCUUUUCAUCCAACUGUAUCGAGCAAUCCGUAAUUUGAUAAAGUGGAAUUGAAAUGACAGACUUGAUACAAGUGCCAAAACAAUAAUUUGACCUCCCACUGAAGUGUUAAUGUGUUCAGCUGUAUGACUUUUACUCAUGCUGAAUACACAUAAGGAAUGUGUAUGGUAUGUUUAUUAUAUUGGAAUACCAGCUAAGGCAGAUUGCUGCUCAGCUGGCCAAAGCCAAGCCAAUGAAUGAUGUUGGUUGAGAGGAUAUUUAAGAAAGGGCAGAGACUGUUGUACACCAGCUGAGAGGGAGAAUGUAUGAGAGAAACAGCCCUGCAGGCACAGAGGUCAGGGGAAGGGGGAAAGAGGUACUUCAGGAGAUGGAGCAGUGAUUUUGCAGUUGUAAUGAGCAGUGUGGUGAAGCAGGCUGCCCUGCUGCAGCACACAGGAUGGUCUUAGUGCAGAUAUCUGUGCUGUAGCCUGUGGAGAGCCCAUGCAGAAGCAGGGGUUCCGGGCAGGAAUUGUGGCCCAUGCUGGAGCUGAUUUUUUUUUUUUUGGCAGGAAUCACAUCCUGCAUAGCAGCAGUCCCUUCCCAAAGGCUGCGCCUUGCGGGAAGGCCCCGUUCUGGAGCACUCUGUGAAAAACUGUACCCCAUGGGCACCUCAUCUAUGGCAUGUUGUAUAAUCCAGAGAGCUGUGGUCUUCCAGCCACGGUAUCAGGGCCCACACUCACUUAAGUAACUGACGCCAGGCUUGGAUGCCCACACUCCUGUCAGACUUCUCAUCUUCGUGCUCUGACUGCCUAGAAAUUAGUGCAGUUGCAGAGCCUGCCAGAACAGUUCCAUAGCAGCUGAUGGCAGCUGGUCACACCACAUAAGGUCCCCUGUACCCCUAGCAAACCUUCUGUGUGCCCCCCAGGAUGGAGGGAUGUGCUGUGUGGAAAUCCCAGGAGAGCAAGCAGAUGACCUUUGAUAGGCAGCACUUCCAAUUGUGCAGGAGAGGCAGAGCGGCCAUCCCCAAAUUUGCAGGUGGGACAGGAAUUUUCAGAAAGCCUGUAUAUUAUAGUGUGGGCUGCAGGUGGGUCAUUAGUUUUUAUAUCUGAGGGUGAAUUACAUGUGCAUUAUGGUAACUACAGAAGAAGCCGGGGUAUUGAGUUCAGGUCCAGAGUGAUUGUGUCCUUUUAGGAUCUGACAAAGGGUGUCACAGCCAAUAUACUUCUAACAGCAGCCUUGAGAGAUUUCAUCUCAUCUGUUGGAUAGGCAGUAGGAUGCAAUUAUUGUAGAGACUGUUCAAAACGCAGGUGAUGUUGUAUGUUGGUAUUUGUAGCAUCAAUGUGCCAAUGCAAAUAAUACUGAAUAGGAAUCCAGAAAAACAUCUUUGCUACUUAGGCCCAUUUUAGGAUGCUUGUUGCACCUCAGCAAUCCUGCUCCAGGAGUAUACUGUAGGUUAAGAAUGUGCUUGAUUAGGUUUUUGCACAAAGGUAUGUGGUAAAUUUUAAUCAUGUCUUGCUAAGCAAUGUGCUUAGGGAGGUGAGGUGGAGCUCCAAGAACCAUAACAAAAUGGAAGUACUUUUCAAUUGGAAAUGAGAUGAUAAUGAUAUUUAUUGGAAAUGGUUUCUAUGUUGAUAGAGGUUAUCUUCCCUAAUGCCUUUUCAUUUACUAGUUAAGAACUCAAAGGCACAUUAACAGAAAACAUGGACUUUAGAGAGACCUGUAUUAAUAAAAAGAAUUGUAUGUUUCAUACAAAGUAACUAGAAAUUGCGAUGAACAACUGUUUAAAAAGUCUAUAUUUCAGUAGCUAGCAGAAACUGAGGACAACUUAAGCAAUUUCCUCACUGUGUUUCUUCUCAGGCUCUAAGCGUGUUUGUAAGACUGCCCAUCUGUAGGUGUACAUCAUCUCAUGCUGUUUUCUUAUUAUGGAGCAGGGAGAGGUUUGACCAUGCAAGGUGAUCAAGUUGAUGCAACUGAAAUGGAUACUCAGCUUCUUGCUAUUUUUGUAGGCAGACGCUUCCCAGCACAGAAGCUGAGCGCAGCUUUACCUGUGGCCAGUAGUCCUUUCGACUUCAACUCUCAAUUUGACUUUUUCUCAUGGAAUAAAGAUUGCAAUUUCAAGAAUGGGAGAAUUAAAAUGAUAGCCUAAUUGUCCUUAUCAAAUGAGAACUUUUAUUAGUUAUUCUUUUAGAGCUGUACCAUGGAUGUGUCAACCUCACAUUUUUGUUGGAUAUCUCAGAGGAUGUCAGUAGUCUUUCAUAUCAUUGUUUAACAUUUGAACUGGAUAAUUUAAAACUAAGGCCAGUUUUGGAAGAGAGCAAAGGGAGUUGGGAAAAAGGUAUGCAGAGUCCCUCUUACCUGUUUUUUUUUUUUCAUAUACUUAAAAAAUUAGCUGCAGUGUUAGGGCACUGGGCAUUCAUCUAAAGCCUUUGUUUCAAGCUGUCAUUAUUAGCUUCACUUCUCUUGCUUAGGACAUGCUGUUUUUGAAACAAGUAUGACUGGUUCAUUAAGCUAGGUGGAAUCUAGUCAUGAUGGCAGUAAUGGAAUAGGUCAGCGUUUGACGGGAUAUGGAGGAAAAAUAGGUUGCAGAGUAACUCCUAAGAGGACUUCAGAUAAUGAGGCCGCUGUGGGAAGCCACUUAGAGUGUUUGUGUUCGCAGAGAUUCAGUGAAUCGAUCCGAUGGAGUAUUUAUUCUUGCAUAACGCCCCCAGAUGGUAACGUUUUGAAAAUAUAGAUAAUACUUUUCUUCUGUUACGCGCCAGGCUUGUUGAUGUGCUUUUUUUAUGAGACAAGUAAUCUUGCAGAUGUUGUUUCAUUAAACUGAGGUACAGAGAUACAUUCCAUUAAUUUUCUAUUCCCAAGUUCUAGGCAGUGCGUUCUAAUUUUCUUUCUUUAAAAUUGCAGGACAGCAUUUCAUGUAUUAAGUGAUACACAGAUUGCACAUUAACUGAUUAAACUUAGCAGAACACCGCUAAUUGAACACUUGCGAACUUGUCUUUUCGAGUUCUUUAAAAGGUAAAAUUAAUAAAUACACAGCUUUUAUUGUUACUUCAAAAUAUUAGGAGAUGGUGUUCCUAGGAGAGAAAACAGAGGGAUUGAGGAGCCAUAAAAUAAGUUGGUGUUUUUUUUUUCCCUUACCUCUGUAUGCCUGGAUAGUCAGCCUGGGGUUUGUUUUGUGAAAUACAUGGGACUCAGAAAUGUUAGUUUUCCUCAGUUUUUGGAAGUAAACCCACUUUAAAAGAAAGUAUAUUUCUAAAAGUAUUAAAAACUUUUUUUUUUCUGGCUGAAAACAUAUGGCUGGCCAUCUGUGCUUAGCCAUGUAAGUGUUUCUACACUGCACUUUAAUUUUCCUUGCAGUGAGAAGUAAGCCACUGUUGACUACAGAAGUGUUAGAAAGAGACAUUAGAAUUUCAUGAAGUUUCCUCAGAGAGGCUUACUGAUGAGGUGGGAGUCUGGAGGUUAGAUUUUUCUGCAGGUGAAAUUUGGGGAACGGAGUUCUUUUGUAAGUUGUUUUAAGUCCUUGUAACAGAGCUCAUGUUAAAUACACAAACAUUGCUAUUCAGGAGAUUACAGUUGCUUUCUAAUUAUUUAAUGGUAUACCUGAUAUUCUGUCAAAUUGCUCCUCUGUGGUGUUAAGGUAGACUUGAUUGAAACUAAUUUGUAUGGAACUUGGAAUGGCAUUUGAAAUUUUGUGUGGAAAACUUGAUGCAGGCAAGUGCUUUACUGUUCUAAGUCAUAAAAUUGAGAGACAGAAAUAACAUUUCUUCUCUAUCAGCAAUUGCACCUCUAUCAGAGGUUUUAUGUUGAAAAUGGGAAUCCUUUUAGGAAGUGAGCUGCGUAUUAUAUUUUUGGUUCUGUUUUCCAUAUAGCCCAUUACAAAAAGAUUCUUACAGAAAUAUUCUUGAAUACUAGGGAUAGAGCAUUGACUGGUGUGUAAGUACCUUUUUCUUGCUUCUCAACAUCAUCAGCAUGGGAGAGAAGAGGUGAGAUCCACUGUUUGUGUACGCAUGUUAGCUAAUGGGUAGUGUGCAUACCAGAAUAUCUGAAUCUUUCAGACAGUCAUUUCUUGAAUCUUUUAGCUCUGAAAAAUGGAGCUCCGUGAUUUUUCCGUUCUGUUAAAUUCUACUGUUGGUACUAGAACCAGUUGCCCAGGUUUCAUACAGAAUUUGGCUUGCUGUGGUGUUUCUUUUCAGGAAUUGUGAGUCAGUGUAAACAGUGAUCAAAACCAAAGUGUUGCUUAUAUUCAGCAGCUAGGGUACAGCAGAGGAAAAGUAAAAGACAGUAAAACCACAGGACUUAAAGCAUUUGGGUGAGUUGACCCAGACCAGCAGCUAAAUUGUUACCUGCACAGUUUCUUGCUUGCUCCCACCUGCCCAGUGGAAUGGGGAAGAAGAGCAUGAAGAGCAAAAGUGACAGACUCGAGGGUCGAGAUAAAGGCAGUUUAAUAACUGAAGAAAAGGGGAAAAUCCAAGUUCACUUACACUUAACACCUCCCAUGAACACAUACCCAGCCAGUUUCAGAACAAUGGCUGCCAACGGAUGAAGAUCUCCCCCCACCCCUUCUUCUGCUCUGUUUUAUUGCUGAGCUUGUACUUACAGGCUUUAGAACAUCACUUUGGCCACUUCAUGUCAGCUGUCCCAGCUGUGUCCCCUUACUAUCUCUUGCCCAGCAUUAGCCUGCUCACUGAGAGGUCGGAAGGGUUGUCAGCAUGAAAAAGAGAGCAGUUUGCUGUGAAAACACCAUUUAGCACAACCAAAGCAAUAGGUGUUAUCAACAGUAUUUUAUAUCUAUUAGGUUGCUGAAACUGUUUACAAAUAUAGUAGAAGUAGUCUGAAAAAUAGACUGAGAUUUCUAGUGGAAAACAAGAGAUGUAGGGGAACUGGAAUGGGUGAGACUAGUGAGAAAGCUAUGCUUCCAACUGUGUACAAGCGAGUAAUCUUUCGUUUGUGCAUAUAGCAUUUCUGUCUUUCUGUCUGUCUUGUGGAAAGGAGUCCAUGACUCUUUGAACUGCUAAUGUUUCAGCACUUGGGAAUCGAUCAAUUCAGAAAGCUCUAUUUCAUUUUUUGAGUUCAGUGUUUUCCCACUGUUUAGACACAAAUUGUUUAGAUGGCUUUCCAGGUGUACGCGUGUGGCUAGAUUAUCAGUGGCAGAUUGCUUUCAUCGUAUUUGAAGGGGACAGAAUAGAUCAGACUAUUGUUUGCCAAAUUAAUAUCUGGGAAGUAAUCCAACCUGAUUAAAGGGAUUGCUAUGAUUGAAUCAUAAAAGGGGAAAUGGGUGUGGAAGUCUUUUUUAUACCUGCUGGCUCUAUUACCUUCCUGGUACCUUGAACACGUGCAAUAAUAUACUUCUAUUCAGUAAUCCAAUUCAUUUCUCAUUGAUCCUAGUUAGUCAAGUUUUUUUUAUAUUGGAUCUCUUCCCAGGUAAAUCUUUUUGCUGCAGCAGCAUAUUGCUUUCUACAGCUGCCUUGACUUCUGGUGUUGGAUGGUUUGCUCCAAACUUUCUAAUUCAGUUACCUUAGAACUGACUUCUUCAAUAAUGAUGCACGAUGUACUUUCGUCUGAUGAAGUCUGCUAUUAUAAGGCCACUUAUUUUUAAAUGUAUGUCCGUAUUUGGAAAGUUGGAUCUGCGCGCUUCUAUUGUCUCUAAAGCACUGCUGAUGAGUUUUAUUUAAGGGGCAAAGUAAAUUUAAUCAUUUUUUCUCAUUUUUCUUGAACAAGUAUGCUUUAGUGUCUUUGUGGGAUAUGUGAUAUGUAGACUUUAUGGUUUAUAUCUAAACUAUACCCUGUCCAGAAAUGACUUAUGUAAUCAUAGCAGUUUUGCACAGUUCAGCUGAAAAAUCCUUGCUGUUGAUUGAGGUCAGAAAAAUCCCGGGGUUCUGCAAUUUAUCUGAGGUGCUUGAAUACUGAAAUAGGACACCCAAGGCAGUACUAAAAUAGCUAGUGUGGGAGAGGUGGUGAUGGAAUACAUGCCAUAUAACAGCUUCUAAAAGCAUUCAGGGGUUAUGUCUUAAAAUACAGUAUAAGUAUUGAAAGAAGAAUUCUGAUUUCAAAGUAUGAAAGCUGUUUUUUCUGCUAGCAGGCUAAUGUACCCAAGUGUUUGUUUGUGUUUUUCUGGAUAAUGGCAAUAUGAAUCCUGUUCAAGUUGCAACUCGUGACUUUAAAUAAAUGAAAUAGAAAAAAAAAAAUUCUGAUCUGUUACUUACAAGUAUUGAGGACUAAUGGAACAGAACCGUUUGUUAUUUUUUUAAUAUAUACUAUGAUGGAUUGCCUGAAAUCCAGUAGGGAAUGUUUACAUUUUCAGGAAAAUCUGUUUUAUCAAAGAUGACUUCAUUCUGGUCUUUCCUGAGCGGAUAACUCAUUGGCUGAUGACUUAAGACUCACAGGAGGAGAUGCACGUAGAAUGUUACAGCAUUGAAGCCGUGUUAGACCAACUCAUUAACUCAUUUUCCUAGAAAACUUUGUGUCUUAGAUCAUCACAGUUAUUGCUAUGUCCCUAGAAUAUUUGUCUUCAAAACCAGUAUCACGUAUUAUUUCACUGUAUUGCAGGAUUGUGUUUUCUUUGUUCUGUUUCCUCACAUGAAUGUAUGAUCUUGUUUCUGUUAAAUGGAUUCCCAGCAUUUCUUUUGUUCGUGAUACCCUGUGUUUAGGCAUGCUUUUCACUUCCAGUUGUCAGGUGCGGUAGGUAAAGACUAGUUAAGUCUGUGUUUCUUGUCUCUUUCACUGGUUCUCUUGAUGCUGGCAAUUAUUUUUGAAGGAAAAAAAAAAGGCUAGCUUUCUUUUUUGCGUAACAGUAGAGCAUGUUCCUGAUUUGCUUAAGAGGGUUGGUUUUGUUCUCUGGUUUGAUAUUUUUGUUGCCUUAGAAGAUGCAAAAUAUUCAUGAAGUUUAUUACUAACCAAUGUUGUGAGGAAUUUUCUCGUGACAGUAUUUGAGGUGUUAAUAAAAGCAGAUGCAUAGAAGAAUUUUACCCUUCUGAAGAUGCCCAAUCUAAUGUGCUAGCAAAGAGAUUUAAAAGCAGGGCUGUGAAAUUUUAACAUUUUAACAACUCAUAGAAUUGUAGAAUUAUAGAAUCAUUUGAGUUGAAAGGGACCUUUAAUUGCCUUAUAGUCCCACUCAUCUGCAAUGAACAGGGACACCACGGCUCCAUCAGUGCUCAGUGCCCACCCAGCCUGACCUUAGUGUGCCUGCAGGGAUGGGGCACCACGGCUGCUCUGGGCAGCCUGUGCCCAUGCUUCCUUACCCUUCUCAUUAAAGGAUAAAUAAUGUUGUGAUUUGAAAUCAGUCCUGCACUGAAUAUGAGAAUUUGUUUCUGAUAUUCCAUGCAAUUUAUCAAAAACCAAAAAAAAGCCCUUAAGUCAGUUUUCAGGCUUAUUCCUGAUUACAUGCAUAGUCUAGAGAAUUAUAAUUCGUUAUAAGGUAGAAGUAUCAGUCUGGGAAAGACUGGAUUGAUUUACUCUGUUUAACUCAUGAGGAUUCUAGAAAUACUAAGGAUUUUUCAUGUGUCCUCACAUACUUGCAGUCCUUGUUAUGCCCAUUGAGAUAAUUAAGACCAAUUGAGUAAGGCUUCUCUUUUUAGAUUACUGCCUUGGGAAUAGCUAUGAGUCCUGUGAGACUUCUAGCAUGGAGUGAACAGCAUUUCAUCUUAGGUAAGCAAGGCAUACGGAGGCCCAUGUUGGCAUAUAGCUUCAGCUGAACUCAGUGCAAAUAUUGGUUGUUGCUACUAUGUCUGAAGGUUAUUGGGUCCAAAACUUUUAAUAUACUUAAUAUAGGUAAAAGUCAUCUUCGAAAUAAAGUGUCGUGCCUUUUGGAAGAUCUGCUUCUUCAUAAGAAUGUAAAUACGAAGGCUCUCAAAGCAGGUCAGUUGUUAUGUUAGUGCUCCCCCUCUCUCUAGAAAUGUGGCUUACUUACCUUAUUGGAAGCCAAGUAUAUAUAGUGUGUUACAAUUAAGUAUCCAGUCAGAUUAGAACUUGGGACCGAGUUAUUCUGUAUGCUAAUAGACUUAUUAGUAUCUAUCAAAAUAUCCACUAGAGUUGAUCUUCCACAUCCAACUCUUGCCUUUUCAAAACUAGUUUUAAAAGUCCCAAAGCUUGAUACUCACUUUAUAAGGAGGUGCUCUUGUAAAUAUUAGAGUGUUCUUUAAUGCCUUUUAUUUUUCUCUAUAUUUAAAACCUACUCAAAUUUUAUGUUGUUUCAGAAGUUCCCUCUCUUUAUGUUUUAUCUUUCCUUGGAAGUAAUACUUUCUGUAGAAGUACUACAAAUCUCUUCCUAUCUUCUAUUAAUACAGUUGUGCAUACUGCUAAGUCUUGGUCAGUUUUAGCUUUCAAGUUCACCAAUAGAGUUUUGGCACAUUGUGGAUGAAAUAGCUUACAUAACCAGAAGGUGGCAGCGUAAGCUUAAAAAAUAAGAAUAAAAGAAGUGUUCACUCAGUAAAUCAAUUUUUAAAGGAGGGUUUUGUUUUGGUUUCUUUUUUCCCCCCAUAGCAACCCAAUUUCAUAAUAACUUCUCAAUCAUUAUGAGGCUUGCUCAUCCUUGACGUAAGCCGUGGUUAAGGUUCUGUAUUACUCUACAGCCUGUAUGUUUAUUUUGUCCUGUUUUAGAUCUGAUAGAACUCCCCAGCGUUUUUUUGCUACCGUUUCUGUGUAUCACAUCCUAAUUUGGUGCAGUUACAUCACUAUAUUUUGUUAGCAUUUUGCAUAAAGAAAUUGUUUAUGUUUUUCAAAUGACUUAUCUCAAGCCAGUCUUUCACUUCCUAUGUAACUCCACUGUUGUUUGUUGAAUAUAGUAAUACUUAAAACAUUGUUCGAUUAAAAAACACUUAGAACUGUAGUUUCAUCUUCAAAGGUUAUGUAAAACCCAUGUAUGACACAGUGACCACUCUUGCAUACAGGAACGAAGAAAUGGAAAUAAUUCAAGGCAUUAAAAAUUAGGUUUACUUUAGAGGCUGACACUUAGAAAUUUUAAAAGCCAUAUUUUUGUACACUUCAGCCUAAAAUGAGAGCUUCCAAUUGGAAUUGAAUGCAACAGAACACUCAGGAUGUACUUGUCACACUUUGAAUCCCUCUUUACCUCCCCAUACUCUUGCUGUCAUUUAGGCAUUAUUUGUAUCAGAUAAUAUUAUUGGAGAGAGAGGAGUAGGGAUUGUGCAUCUUGUUGAAGGCUUUCUUUUUAUGUAUUGAUUUCUGCUCAGAAUGAGCUAAGAGAAGAUGUGGUAGCCAAUUUACAGCAUGACCAUAGGAAUCAUAUGAUACAAAACCAAGCUGAAGGAUUUGGUGAUUAGUAGGUAAUUUUUGUAGGCUGAUGUUGGUUUUUUUUUGUAACAGUCAUGAUUGAAUGUCCAAAUAGCAAUUCUAUUAAGUUUUUUGAAAGCACACAUCUAAAAAGUACACUGCGAACUCCACCGUUUUAAAAACAAAUAAUUUUGCUGAAGUUUGUUUUCCUCUGUAAUGUGAUUGCUGUGUUUAAACAUACUUAACUGAGCAGUUAAUUACCUAUAAUUCUAGUGGGAGGUGCUUUUUUGUGUUUUUUUGGGGGGUUGUGUUUUUUUUUGGGGGGGGAAGGGGGGGGCUUGCAUAGUGACUGGUGUGUUUGUAUGAUUACCAAGUAAGUCAGGCUUUCAAAAAGUCAUUGCUAUUACAGUAUUUGUGACAAAAACCAUUAGCAAAUUUGUCCUUAAGGGAUAGACUAAUACAGUGGUUGACACUGAGAUAAGGGAGAGUGAAAUUAACAGUGGAUUCUCUUGCUAUAAAACUCCAACUUAAUGCUCCUGGGGAUAAACCAGAGACCCAUUGCUAUUAACUUACCUUUUCUAUCCAGUCGAUUAAGUCCUGACUCCUGUGGCAUGUAGGGUACAUAUCGCGGGACCUUCCUGUUUAGUCAGGCAUAUAUUCAGUCAUAUUGUGUAGCUGAAUGGGAGUUGUUUGAUUGGCGAACUGAGUAGCAAUUCAGUUUGAAAGGUAAACUUCUUUUUUUGCAGGUAUUUAAAGAAAGAAAUAUUGUCAUUCAAUGUAAUUCUUUGUUGUUAAUGAACUGGUGAUAUGAUCAUGUCUGUUGUCACACCAUCUGUUGGAUUUCCAAAAUUAAACAGUACAGAAAGUGUAAAACAGAGAAUGAGAAAUAGCUCUAAACUUAAAUUCAACUACUCUUAAGCUGUUUAUCAGAAUUUUCAAUAUUUAGGUUAUAUACAUAGAGCUGUUUGUAACCUAUGAAAAGGGAAAUUCUAGUUGAUGCAUACAUUCUAGUGGAUGGACCAUCCAAUUUGCUUCACAGAACAAUUGAAGAGUAAGUUCUUACAUAAUUUGAAGUUGUGCCUUUACUUGAUUUGGCUAAUUCUACAUUAAUAGUACUCUGUGUGUAUUUGAAGCUGGCUAGGUGAGCUAUAAUGAUUGUCUGUCUACAUAUCUGAUUAACGCAAAUGGAUCUGUGGCUCUGUUCUAUGAAGACUCUAAGUUUGUGCAGCAAAGCUUGGAAUUUGCAACUUGUGUAAUGAAGUUUACUGUGGUUCAAGUCAUCUUAUUUAUUUUUUUUAGUGACUUCAGUAGAUAAUGUAACAUGUUUGGUAACUGUCUUGUUUGUUCAUCUUCUACCUGUUGCCUUAUCUCACCAGGCUGUUGUUUUUGUUUGUGCUUAAUAACACUCUGUUGAAGUGUUGAGAAAACUUUGCGUGUGCCGUUCCUUUUGUAGCAGUACUCUUUGAGACAUGAAAUGUCUGUUAAUUGUAUUUUCUGAUUUUAUUUUUAAUUAACAGCUUAAGUUUUAAUGUAGAUAGAGCCCAAUGGCCAAUGUCAUUUUAAUAUGGACUUCAGUGCUUAAGAAAUUUUCCUAUCUGGAUGUUGUAGCUGGAAUGUGUCUCGGCGUGGGGUAAUCUGUACAGCUAGGAGUGGAGGUGAACAGUGUGUAGAUAUGUUAUGAUUUAUAGUUUUUAACUAAAAUAUUCUUAAUUGCCUUUCCAUUAGUAUAGCAAGUACUUGGGAAUCCUGAACGAUCUUUCACAUUGAAUAAAAGUCAUCCAGAGGUAUUAAAUAUAUCUAGCUGUCAUGAACAGGGGAAAUUAAAAAACCCAAACAAGCUGACAGAGAUUCAUUGUUAAAUCAGGAACUUAAUCUUGUAGGAAAAAAAAAAAUGGUAUCUUCCUAUGCCCUAUCUUCUAACUUAAUAUUUCAAGUGAAGCAGUAGUCUUUGAGAAGAGAUUCCUGUAAUAUCUGCCCUCUCUCUUUUUAUUUCUAAAUGUGUAAUUCACUUUGUUUCCUUUUGAAAAUUAUGGAAUUGUUGUACAAGAUGAGGACAAAAAUUACCUGAUGUUGACUUGGAUGGAGCACUUUGCUUUUUAAGGCUUCUGAAAUUUGAUUCCAUAGAGAAAUCUUUCUGUUCUUCAUUAAGUCUCUGUUUCUGAUUGCCUGCAUGCUGCCUGAAAUGAUCAAUUUCAGACUGAUUCAGAAGAUGCUCUUCCCACUAUAUUAGUUUAUUUUAAUGUCAUUUGAAAUGAUCAUUAAGCUAAUUGUCUGUUCUCGUUGUUUGCUGGUGGUGGCUCUUGCUCAUAGGAGUGAGUCUGAUGAUAAGUAUCAGUAACAGAGCAUUCAUUACAACUUAUCCAAAACAUGCAUCUGGUUUUCCAGAGCUGUAUGUCAACACGCCACACAAUCCUUUUGGUGUGUUACGGGAUGGAUUAAUUUCACUCACAACUUUCUCUGUAUAAUUCAUGAGCAUAACCCUGGCUGAAUUACAGGCGCUGACUCUAGAAGUCUGUUAAACAUCAGAAACAGUUGCUUGAAAUCAGCUUUCUGCUGAUGACUAAUUACAUUUCAAAGAACAGCAUAUUUGGCAGAAAAUGUGAUCUGAGCAAAGGGUUCAAAGGACGCAGCUUUAUAGAGGCAUUCCAUUACAAUACUAAUUGUGGACAGUUGCCUUAAAAAUACAGGCUACAAUCAUGUCAGUUACUCUUAUUCUGAUUUCUAUCAUGUAAAUCUGUAAAAAAAACAAACAAACAAAAAAGUGACUUCCAUGAUAGUGCUAUUUGGUUAACAGACAUAUGCAACAGGACCAUGGUAUGUGUGUGUCACAUACGUGAUCAGUGUAGCUUUGUUUGAAAGUCCCUCAGAUCCUUUAAUAUAUAUUAUCAUCUUGGCCUUUUGAAAGAGAAGGUUAUGAAGAAGAUAAACCAAAACAUCAUGCUGAUGUUGUAUGACUAAGGCAUAUAAAUACUGCAUACAAAGCGUGGUAAAGGGUUUACUCAAAGAUUUUGAGAUGUUUAUUGUCAAGGAAGUCUGUAAAAACUAAUAUUUCGCCUAUUAUUUUCUUGAACUUGGAGUGCAUUUUUUUUCUGCAUGGCUUCUCUUGCCCUAAAUAGGUGAAAAAUGAAGUUUAGUGUAGUAAAGCCUCAGUUCAGGUGGAACUGUUGAGUGACAGAUCUUUAAUUCUUCUAGAAACAGCAAAUCAGACUUUGUAGGUUAUUUUGAUGCAUACAAGCAUGUGAGAAAAAUCUAUGAUUGUGGCUGUUGUUUUCAGUGGUGUUUUUCCCCCGCCUUGAAUUUACGGAAGACAAUACUAAGAUACUGGUGAUAGAUGUGUCAAAUCCUCAGGGUUGGUGGCUUCUCUGCAGACAAAAGGUUCCAUACUUGCACCGUACCUGUAGAAGUGCGUGCUUUCCCGUGUGUGACGAUUGUGUGAGGUUAGCCAUUCAUUCAUGCUUUUUAAGUUUGCUGGGUAUGUUAGUGAGAUUUUGGUUUACAGUCAAUAACAAAGUGAAAAUAAUGUUCUUCAAAUGUGGGCUCAUGAUCUGAGAGAUGGGAGGAGCAGGAAAUCAAUGCUUGUUAUCAUGACCCAUUUCCUUUAGAAGAUAAGAAUCCCUUAGAAUUGACACGGAUUAAUUACACAGAUGAUAUCAGUUGUCUUCGUCAAAAUCCUGUGUACUAAAUCAGCCUUACUGAAAUGGUUAAUACACUAGCUGUUGAAGUCGUUCAUGACUUUUAUUGCCAUAUUUACUUUGUCCUCUUUUUAUGUUUUUGGUUUUGUAAGUCUUUGGAAAGCAAAACCACUAAAUUUAAACUUAAAAACGUGGUGAAAAAAAUCAAGGCUGACAUUUAAUUAGAUGUUCCAGAUUCUUUUUAGGAAGAAAAUGAUGAUGAUAAGAAGAAGAAGAAUAGCUGCUGAUAUUCUAUGGCUCUGUGGUUUCAGGAAUCAUUAUAACUGUUUUUGCUGCGUGGAUGAGCAUGAAGGGCUUCAGAUGUAGAUUAAGGCAGUGUUGAGGUAGGCUGGUAGUUUGUCUAGAUGCUCAAAGUUGUUUCUGUGAAAGCAGUAACACUGCAGCAUUUUAUUUUAUAUGUUAAAUAAACCACUAAUUAAAAAAACAACACUUUUUUCAUUUUAAGAUGCUGUAAAAUUAGAUUUACUUUUUACUAUAAACAGAGUUUUUAUGAGGAAAAGGUCAAAAACAUUCAGCACUUUGUAUAAUGGACUUUUUAAUGAAGAAUACAAUUUUUUAAUGCUUUCCUAUGAAUGUUAUUCUUGAUGUAUAAUACUGACUUAUCUUCAAGUAGAAAGAGGAUAACAAAUGGAGGCUGUACCCUGAGGUUUAUUCCAAGUGCAAAAAGACUGUUUUAGAGUCCCGAUCUUUGAAUUUCCUUUGCCUGUAACAUUCUGUAGAAAGCUGUCUGGUCCACUUAAUGCUUUUUUGGGGGAUAUCUUUAAUCCCAACUACGACAGCCCCAUUGCAAGUCUGUGCAAUAGAAAACCUGAUGAAGCAAAGAUAAUCAAAGACAGUUGAAACUUAACACUAGUACCAGAAUCUUUGGGGAAUAUUAGGAAAAAGCUUACUUCUCAGUUUGCAUUAAUAGAACACAUAGUCUAACAAUAUUUCUUUCUUGAGCACAGGCAAUUGGACAACCAUAUUUAGAUUACAAUAUGGUGGUUAUGUACUUGUGUAGAACCACGCUUCUUUUAAAUCAUGAAGGCAUUAUGAAAUGUUUCGUUUGUGUAGAUUUUAUGUGCCAAACCUGAAGAUCACUAGGUGCUAUUCACCUGUCGAAACACAGGGAAAGAAAUUUGAGGGAUGUUUCCCAAGGAGAUUUGAACUCUUUAAGACUGUAUUUUGUUUUCAUAUGAAACAUUCUUAUGAUUGGCUUUCAAUUUUUGUAUGACUAUGUGAUAGACAGACAGGGUUCUACUUCUGUGAUGCUAUUAGUGCUCUGAUGAUAGGUAGGAGAGGAUUGGGUAUUACUCAAUAAAUGAUUCUCAGCUGUGCAAUAGUUUUGCAUCAUAAAAAGAAAACGGAAGCUUAGAGUUGCUGAACUUGAGUGUUCUCAGCAAAAAUACGUAUUUUGACAAUUUUUUUUCCUUAGAGAAAGGGAUGGUUGUAGGAGCUGCUGAGGAAAAGGAACGUACUAGUGAUCAGUAUGCAGAUUUUUUUUAAAUGGUAAAUUACAUUCCUGUGCAUUAAAGCAAAGAAAGACUGAUUGAUUGAUGCUUUGGGGAAAAAAAAUUCUAAAAAUAGAUAUUAAUUAACAUUUUGCUCUAAAUAAAGCUUUCCUCUUUUUUUCCUUCUUUUGCAAAACUGAUGAGACAUGUGUAGUUGCAGAUGUAAAAAUGCUUAAAAGGAAGAAUGAAAACAGUAUCUCCGUCCUUGUUUUCCUCUUAUAAUCACCGUAGAUUUGAUAUAUGUAUAAUUUUUCUGGCUAAUUCAAUUUAGAAAACGUGGGGCUGAAAAAAGUAGCUUCAUAGGUUUAAAAAACAUGCUUAAAAGGAAAGUAGUAAUUCAUUUUUAGAAGCAUGAAAAAUAUUUACACCAUUUUAUUUUGAUGGAUCAUAUGUAUGGUAUCCUUAUCACACUGUCAACUGAUGUUAAUCUAAUGUAUUUCCACCCCCAAAGGUGUUAGCCCUGCAGGUGCUGGAAAGAAAUGCCAGGGCUGAUGUAAGAAGGGAUGAGUGUUUUCCGUGUGUGUGUGUGUGUUAACGUAACAUAAAACAUAGAGGAUGUUCUUUUCUAGUGGUUCCUUAAUAAACUCAAAAGUCUAAAAAAAAUUGAUCAUUACUGAUUACUGAUUGAUCAUUACAUACAGAAUGCUGUACUAAAUCAAAAAUGACUGGAAUUAAAAACAUUAAUGAAACCAGCUCAGUCUCUUUAAAUGAUGGUGUGGCAAAUGAAAGAUCCUUUAUUUUUUUCCCCUCUUGUUUUUCCUUGAGGUAAUGGAAAAUGAAAAAUGUUCUGUACAUGUCAAAAUCAUGAUAAAGAAUGAAUCCUAUGGGUGAGUUAAUGAAACCUUUCUGCCUGGUGGCAAGUGGCAGGCCCUCAUCUCUACAACGACUGGCACUAGGAGGCUCUGAGCAGUAUUAUCUGAAGAACUGUGCAGCACCUUCCAUCACUAAUGCCUAGUUUACAUCAUAAAGUCUCCUAAGCACCUCUCUUAAAAAGAAAGGAAAAACAGUGGAAUUGCUAUAACAUCUUCCCCACAACUACUGCCAUAGUUUUUUGUUGUUUCUUUCAUGGAGAUUUGCCAUCUACUGCACAUGUAUCAAAAACAAUAACAUUGCAUGGGUUGUGGAAUCUGUGUUCUCUAUCACAAUUUAAUUACUAACUGAACUGUAUUAACAACAUACAAUACUACAUGUGUAAUAUUAGGCAUUACGAUAUACACUUACAAUGUAAUAUUGUGUGUUUAUACAAUCCAGUUACAGUUAAUUCAUAUAUUUAUGAGAUACAUUAGAAGGAUUUUUUGUUUGCUUCUAUGAUUUCAGACUCGCAAUCUGUGCCAACGCAGUUGCAGCUGUAUGUAGCAUAUGUUAAUGGUAUAAAUAACAAGAAAAUGAACUGAAAAGUGGAAACGAAGUAUGGAAGAUACCUCAAAAGGAAAGUUAAUAGAUCAUGUAAAUUACUCUUUUUCAUUGUAAAACUGAAAAUACUUAUAUUGAUAAGUAUGUCCACAGUGAUGAAUGUUUUUUUUUUCCCCCUGAAAAACUGAAGUACUUUAGCGAUAUGCACAUGUGUUCUACUGUUUUAUGUAGCAGGUAAUGAAUUCAGGCCUUCUAACCAAUGAGCAAUUGAAGAAAUAGCUAUUCCUUACAAUAUUCACUUUCUGGUAUAAACACAUUUGUCUUAGAGGCUUUCUGCAAGGCUUAUACAAAACAAUGCUAGUUAAUAUGGGUAGAGAUUAUAUGCUAUUUUCGGUUGCAUAGUUGAAUUAUGAUGUUUGUCUUGCUCUAAAAAAAGAGGUCCUUAGGAAGGUGCUGAGGACAACAGUUGCAUCACAGUAGUUUGAUAUGAAGUGUUUCAGUGAAAUGUGUUCUCCAUGUGUUCAUGAGAGAAAUUAUCAUCACCUCUAGUUGAGUGUACCUGUAUGUUUAAAAAAAAAAAAAAAGUUGGAAGAAUAGUGAUUGACUUACAGUACUCCUUGUUUAUUGAAGAUUUUCCAGACUACCUUGAAAUAUAUUGCUGUGAAUAUCUGUACAAAUUUCAGAAGGAAGAACUAGUUUUCCAGUUGGAUUUCAGGGAUUGUCCUAAGAAGAUUAAAGAAUGUGCAUUGUUUCCAAAGCAUGAAAAUAUGGGGUAAAUGCUACCUACAAAUCUGAGAAUUUUGCUGAAUACCAAAUUGACUGAUUAUCUCCUAUAUUCAGGGAUGACCCACUAGCUGUUUCUUGUUUUGCUUUGUUGAUAUAGUAAAAGCCCGUGCUGCAAGUUAAUCAAGUAAUAGAAUUCUUUCUUAAUUUUUCCGCAUUCCUUUCACAAAGGAGAAUCUCUUUUGAUCCUGCAUUAAAAAAUGCAGUUUAUGGGUACUGGAAUAUGAUGUGGUAGAUGGUUCCAAUGUCAAGACCUACUCAAAUCUGAGGUUAUGCAAACAGAAGUGGAAUUAAUCAUACAUCUUUAUGAAAAUUAUUUGCAUGUCCUUACUUCCUCUACAGCUUUCUGUACAUAUCUCAAUUUCUAUACCGUAUCUCAAAAAGCACCUUUAAGGUUAAUAUUUUUUUUUAAUCUUGUCAGAGCACACUUUCUUUUCCAUCAUUGUGCUUUUUUUUCUUGUUGACAAAAACAUUUUGUCAUGUUAUCAGUGAAGUGAGAUGUUAGGUGGAGACUUUCUGAUUGGCAAGAGGCUUGCUUUCUCUUGAUGAAGAAAGCAGUGUCAUAGUCACUCAAAUUCAUUUUUUGAAACUUAAAUAGUUAGGGGAAGUCUUCUUAACAUAUACAACAGCAGAUAUGAAUGAUACUUGUUGAAAAUAACCUAGAAUUUCUUCAUUCUUUCUUAUUGUGUUCUCUUAAUUUCAUUAGCUUGACUGUAUUCACAUCUCACUAUACCCUAGCUGGUUUUCUUGGUAAUUUACAUAUACCUCCUUUAAAUAGAGUUACGUUUGGACCUGGUUGUUUUAUAUUUACUUACUUUAUGGCCUUAUCGUAAGAUAGAUGGCUUGGAGCUCACGAGUGGUCUUUUUAUUUAUAUCUUUGUGUGGUUGAAAGGGUGAUGUUUGUUGAAGUGGCAAAAUCUGAGACUGUCAGGAGAACAAAAAAUGAUAAAUGGAAGUUCAAAGAACGCGUUAUUAAGUAAGUUGAUUUGGUAAUUAGAAGUUGGAAUACCAGUAGAUUUUCACAGUAGGGAGGACAGCAGGGAAGGCAAAGAGUGCUAAUUUUAUUUUAAUUAAGCUGUUCAGUUAAUCAGAGUCAGAGGAUUCUGCCGCUAAAUGGGAAAGGAGGAGCAGUAUGAUGUUAUAGACUUGCUCCAUGUUUGACUCUGUCAAGUGGCAUCCAUUUUAUUGUGGUUGCAGUAUGAAGUGAUUUCAAGUAUUACUGAAGGAGCUACUCAAAUUGAGAGCAAGUGUACAAGUAACAGUGUAGCUCACUUGAUCUCUCUCUGGGCCUGUGGCUUUUGUCAGUCUCAGUGAGCUCUUGGGGCUAAGCUGUUUUUCGUCUUAAUGAGAAAGAGCAGUUGAUAGAACAACAGUCCUGCUUGUUGAGAGUAAACGUACAAAACAUAGAUUAUUUUCAGUUUUUAUCAUUACAGCUCUGCUUAAACUGGAAACAUGAUGUGGCUUACAUUAUGACAUAGUUCCUUGUCAUCGUGAUUUGUUAUCAAGAUCAACAAAGAGUAGCAGCUAGGUCCUCUUAAGUCACGGCUGUAAUUAAUAAUUACUGUGAGCUAUUUGCUUUCUAUGAAUAAAGCAUUUCAUCCAUAUAUAGAUCACUUCAAAACCACAAUCUAGCUUAGUGUUUGAAGAUACACAAAAAGGAGCUUGUUUAUGAAACUGUGACUUAGCUAUCACACGUAACAUGCAUUAACUCAAGCAGAAAUGUUCAAACAGGGUAGUGCCCCCUGUAAUCUGCCUUUCCAAAUCUUUUACCAGUAUCCCAUUCAUAAUAAAAAACCUCUAUCUUCUAGUAAAGUACAAAAUUACUGGCCCUGAUUUUAGUUUGGGUUUGCAGCCUGCCUCUGAUCUCCUGAUCCAUGUCCUGACAAGCUUAUUUAAACUGCUCAGUUUACUAUUAAAGUCUGUGUGUUUUUUUCAUGGAACUUCUGAAGAAAUAUUAUGUUCCAGGAAUUAGCUGGGGGCUUACUGUUCUCUUCUAAAAUUUUCUUAACUGCCUUGCCAAAUAAUGGAAAUGAUAAGAAUAGUAAACCUAUUGUGUGAUAAUUACCAACUGUAGUCUGACUACUCAUUUGCAUGUUCUGAUUCCAGAGUUGCAUGCAUUAUAUAAUGUUAGCCUUUUUGUAACGUCUCUGUUAUAAAGGGAUGUUACUUUAUUCCAUUACCUACAUUAUCAAGAAGCUACUGCAUGACAAAUUUUGGAUCCAAGUGGUAAUGAUAGGUCGGAAUAUGCCAGGACCCUACUAGGUUUCAUGUACUAAGCUGAGCUUGCAAUUCUAGCAUUCAAAGUUGUUUUGAAUUGGAGUUGACUUGUAAUCAGUGAACACAGAAAGAAAAAGAAAUGUCAGAACCCCAUUUUUGUUGAUUCUGUACCAUUCACUGAAAAAUGAACAAGACAAUAGUAAGCAUUCUUCACUAAGUUACUGUAAAAUAACACUCAUUGAAAGCAUAAAAUCUAAAGCUUACCUGGGUAAUAGCUUUGUUAACAGUUGGUUGAUGAUCAGUUUCUGUGGGAGCCUUUUCCAGAUGUUUCUGGACUGCCUCCUCAAUGGCAGUUGACUGUACAACUUUCUCUCCCACGUUAUUUCUCACAGUCACAAGGACCACUUAUUCCUUUGCUUUCCUUAGCAAUAUAAGGCAGCUGGGACCUACAUUAAUGUUUAUGAAGUUGCUCCUUGUGAGAAUAGUUUGUUCAGUUUUUUUAAGUGUACCUUUGCAUCAGAUAGUUCUACACAGGUAAUUCAUUUCUAUGAUUUAGGAUGUUGUUAAUUGCCUUUCUGAAGGGAGUUUGAGCACCUUUUAAGCAAACAUCUGAACAAUUAGCUAUGACAAUUCUGCCACUGUGCAUUCACUUAAUUUCCAAUUAAUCAAACAUGCAAUAAAUCAUUAGUAUAAUUACACCUGUUCAAAUAUUCCUACCCUAGCACAUUAGCUAUGCUCAGGCAGACUUCUUUGCCAGCUGUGUGGAUGGGUUCAUUUGUCUGACCCAGUUGGUUGCACUCCCUUGCUCCUUGUGAGCCUUGAGAAAUGAUAGGGCAGAAAUUUUAAUUAUUUAUAAUACCACAAAUUCUUUUGAUUCUCUGUUCAUACUUCUCACUUGGAUGCUCCUCUAACAACUUAAAACAAACAUCAGUGGAGUGGUGAGACUAGUUAAUUUCUGAAGCUUUUUAAUUCAUUUUUAUGUCCCUUCUGUGUCACUUUUCUAAUUAUGUUGUCUCCCCAGGUAAGCAGUAAUUCCCUCAUCACUGUAUAUCUCAAGCACAAAUUAUUAAAGUAGUAUCAUUUAUGUCAUAUAAAUGCAACUGAAAGUAUCCUAAAGGUACUUUAUUGGUAGCUAGUAAACUGAUUCAAGAGACUAACAUUUUAGGACUUUGUUUUGAAAGGCUGCAGAAGUACUAACCUACUGGCAUAACUUCAUAAUAUCAGUGCAAUUAUUUUUAGCAUCUGAGUAAGACACUCAAAAUCAAACUCUGAGUAUUAACUUAAAUUUGAAACGUGUGAGAGAUGUGUUUUUUGUUAUCUACUUCCAUACAGCAUCUGAAAAGGAGUGAAUUGCCUCAGGAUCUAUACCAAGUUCAUGGCAGGAGUGGGACUACUGAGUAUUUAUAUCUACGUAGUCUCUUGUUGUAAGCUUUAAGUUGUACUUAAUGUACAACUGUGUUGUUAGACUCAAAGUAAGGAGACCAGGCCGUGUAAUCUCAGUCUCUAUAGUCACUUACAUAAUAGGAUCUUCAUGUUAUUAUAGGCAUGCUUAACAUCUUGCAGCAUAGGUUCUUUUACUUCGAGAAUACAUUAGUGGGUUACAACUUGUCUUUGUUUUAAUCUUUGAGCUAGGGGUUGGAGAAGAUUCGUAAUACUUGAAUCCAUUAAUACAAAUAGGUAAGGUGUUUAAAAUUAACUGAAGGUGUCAUAAUGUAUUCAGAUAGUUAGCUUUUCCCUGGCAACCCAUUCCAUAUUCUGUUUAUAUCCUGUGACUGUAAGUUUGAAUGUCUUGUUUAUUUUUAUUUCUGCAAUUUUGGUGGUAAUACAAGACAAUAACAUCACCAGACACUCUUCUUUACCUUUAUCAUCUUGAAAACUUUGAAUCAAGAGGAUAUUCUCAAAAUUUUCAGUAUAGGUUUUCAAGUCUUUUACAAUUUUCGUUCUCUGCAGCUGACAGUAUUCUUUGCCUAGUCCCUUUAUUAUAGUUUUCCUCAUCCCAACUUCUUCACAUCUUCAGAAUACCAUCCCAGGUCUGAACUCACUUAACUUUAGCUUGAUUGAAGUACAGUAUAAAUAAUUUAAUAUCUCAAAACAUAACAGUCUUGAAACUUGAUCAGUAUAAACAACAGUGUAGUUUUUAGUCACCUAAGGGAAAGUCCAUGAGAAAAUUGUGAACAGAAUCAUCUUCACCAGUUGAAACUUGGACGUGAAUGUGCAUUUCUUGUCAUUACAAGAUUCUCUUCAGGAGCUUAAAGUUUACCACAAUAGUAUUGCCUUUGGUUGGUUGUUUUUUUUUGUGGUUUUUUUUUGUUGUUGUUUGGCUCAAGUACAGUGUAAUGUCCUUCUUUCACUUCAGUGCUUCAGUGAAUUAUUUUAAGCUUGUAUUAUGUUUAAUUUUUUAAAGCAGAAAAUUUGGUUUUGGGCCAGUAGUCCAAAGCAGUCCUUUUGUCCUAAAGUCUGUCUCAUCUCUCUGGAUCUGGAGGAGCAUGGUAUAAGUGCUCUUCACAUUUUCAGCUGUUGGUGAGUGUGUUACAUUCUACAUCAUAUGAUAUAUUAACAGGACAGGAAUUUUCUAUGCAGUGCUUAGGGGACCUCUUUACUUUGUAUUAACAGUUGAUUAAACGUAGUACAGUGAGUAUCAUAUUGAAGCAGAAUAAUUGUGAAGUACUUUGUCUUUUGAAGCCUGAAGCAGUUUCUGUGGCAAUAACUUUAGAGGCUUAUGAAUGUUUUUAUGUAUUUUUCUCAGAUUAAUAAAAUGUUCAUAAUUUUCCUGCCACAUUUGAAUAGUCUACAAUUACAUGACUUUUAUGAGCAAUCUAAAUUAAAGACCCUAGUCAUCAGUACAGAAUGAAUUACUUGACCAGGGUUUCAUUUGUGCAUUGUUUUUGUGCGUCCAGAUGGGUGUUUUGGUUUACCAUAUUCAUCAGCAAGAAAUCUCAGAGCAUUGUAACAUCUGUGUGAAGCUUGAGCACACAUGCUCAAUUAUUUCUAAACUGCAAUGAGGAGCUUAGUUUUAUCUCUCUGAAAUAUAUGAUUAUCUUUUUGUACUUUAUUUGUAGGGGAAGAGGCAGUUUCACUUAGCACGAAAUCUGUUGAUUGCAUGGCAGAGUGUGGGAGGUGAUGUUUAUGCUGAUGGUCUGAUGUUGCUGUUUCUUAUGACUUAAAAUCAUCUGUCAUUUCAGCUGGAUUUAAAAAAGUUAUACACAAAUGUUAUAGGGCAAGCACUUCUAGAACUUCAUCUGCUAGGAUACAGUUAAUCCUGAUUUCAAAGGGCAAAACUUUUUAUUUGGUUGUCACUAGAUACUGCUUCUACAACAGCUGCACUGGUCAUCAAGAACAUGACCAGAAUGCAAUAGGUUCUUAAGCAAGAGCAUGAACUUUGUGACGCUCAAGAAAGAACAUAAACUCAAGAAAAAAGCAGAAUUUUCUUUGCAUUGGCAAUAAAUCGGUGGCAUUGGAUAUCACACAGAAUGGGGAAAGCAGAUUGAUAUGAUGUUGACAGAAAUGAUGCUUAUGUUCAAAUAAUCUGGGAAAUUGAUGAAGCGUAUUUCGUCCUGGUAGAAAUGCUGUCUGCUACCAAUGGAUGGAUUGCAAGAGUCAGCCCUGCUGUGGGACUGGCUUAGGUUUAGGUUUAACAUCUCACGUUUCCAAAUGAUUCUUUGCCGUGUCUGGUUUCCCAGCCCCAUGUUUUUCACAUCACCCAUUUACACAUCCCUCUACAAUGUUCUGCUGAAUUGCUUUUAUUAUUAUCAUUUCAAUCCUCAGUCCACUCUGUGCCAACAAAUAUUGAUUUUUAUGCCUCCUUUGUCUAAUAGAAGAUUGUAGAUGUAGUCACUAUUUUAAGUGGAAAACCUUUUAUUGGUGUUUUACAAAGCUCUUGUAACUCAUUUCCUUCCAAUAUAAGUUUGGAUGGUUUUUUUCCCCAAGCUAAAUUUUGCAUGGAUUAAUUUAUUAUUUUUUAAAAUGAAAUCAUAUAUAGCUUCUGUAAGGAGCUAUUGGCUUUUUAUAUAAGUUUGUAACUGUUCUGUGUCUUGUAAUAGUAAAGGAGACUAUCAAGAUCUUCUGUUAAAGUCUUAAAAAGGGCUCAUAGACAAAUGCAUAAUGUUGGAGUGCGCUCCUCGAUGAGAGGAGAAAGCCUAGCUUUAAAAAAAAAUUCUUAUACCUUUUAGGACAGAAAAUGUUCCUUUUGGUUGUUAAAAUAUUGUACCUCCUGAUGAAUAAUUUGUUUUCUCUUAUGUUGAACUUAGAAAUAUAACUUCCAGUAGGCGUCUCAAAGACAUCAACCUUUCUACCAACUUCAGAGAUGGAUCAAGUCUUGUACUGUGAUACUGUAAUAUAUCUGAAAAUGAACAUUGUGUUCAGUUAUGUGGCUGGGAUUAGAAAAAACUUAACUUUGUUCUGCCAAUCCCAAGAGGGGGCAGUAAGUUUCUUUUUGUUGUUGCAGGAAGCAAGUCCAACUUUAUCUACACCUGGGUAGAUUCUGCACUUAAAAACAGCCAUUUAUAAUAAGAAACCAACAUCUUCACUAUUUCUUAUCACUUUCUUUGCUUUUAAGUGUAGUUUCCUAACAGUCUUUAAAAUAGUAAAUAUUCGGUAAUUUCAAUAUCAGUCAUUUGUUUCUUUGAUCUUCAAUGUAUUCAAAGUAAGCUACAGUAAGGUAGGCAUUUUAACUAUUACAGUUUCAUAUAUAAUUUCUUCAAUUUUUUUAUCAGUUUUUUGGAGGUGUCUUUUCAAAGAGCAUUGGUGAAAUUGAAUGGUCUUUUCUCCUGUGCUGAGUUCAUGUUUUGUCUCUUCUAAUCCCAAUAUUCUUGUACACAUUUGUAGUGAGGAAUCAAAUUAAUUUUGAAUUCAUGCUCUCAAAUUGUAUGUUUGCAUUCCUUAGUGUAUGAUAGUGACAUUCAUAUGAAUAUGAAUGGAGGAGGAAAAAAAGUAUGUGUAUGAUGCACAUAAUUUUUUAGAACAGUUCUUAGGAUUCAGAAUUAUUACUCUUCAUUUGGAGGUAAAAUGUAAACGAUCAUUUGAUAUGAUUAGAAGAAAAAGAUAGAAAUCUAGUAUUUAUAAGGACAUUCAUUAUAAGCUUUUAAAGUCAGUUGAUUCAUUACAGGUUUUUUGUUUGCUGUUGAUACAAGUUAUAAGAAUUGAGAUGAAGGUGUGAUUAAAGUGGCCUCAUAAUUUCACAUAAGCUAUUGGGAAGCUUUCAUAGCUGUAGUUCUGAAAAAGUUUGCAGUAAUAGUCCCACAAAACAUAGGUUUGGUAGUACCCAGAGUUAGCCCAAAAUGUUAUUGUGGGGGGAGUGGUAAUAAUACUUUUCCCCCUGACUUUGGUGAAAUAGAGCAUUUUUAAAUAAGAGUUCUUAAUAUUUAAAAAUCAGUAGUAGUUGCUUCAGUCCUGCGCUACUCAGAAAUUAGCUAGGAGUCCUGUAAACCUUUGGCUGCAGUAUUCUGUAAUACCUAGGCAACUGAAAUGUUCCAUUUAGUACUAUCAUAAUGUGUGAUUUGUGUCUUUACUGAGAAUGUGCCUAUUGGUUUUACAUGCCUCGGGAACACAAAGCAGUCCUACAUCUGGCAUAGAAACUGUCCCACGAAAGUAAUUGCUGUUUAGUAGGCGGAUGAGUUUUGAAAUUUUUCCCAAAAGAACUUUUUUUCUUUAAAGCCAUACAAUUUUUUCAUUUAAAAUGUGUGCAGUUGCUGGUUCGUGAUCCAUGAUGCACCACAAACAGUAAUGGCUUAUCUCUACUCAAGUACAAAUUGCUGUUGCAAAAUGCAUAACAUGCUGUUUAUAUUUCAGUGCUGUAAUUUAUUGUUUUGCCUCCUCCUACUGAUGCUGGUAUGCACUAUAAUGUUUUUUUGUAGAAAAAAAAAAAUCACGGCUAUAUCUUCUUAAUGCUGUUGUUUGAGCUAGUGUGUGUUGAGGGGGAAAAUGUAUUUCAUAUGGGACGGUCUCUGAAAUAAAUUCUAGCCCAGAAAUUUGGAGGAGGAGUGGGCUGUGAGAAUGUGGGAGAAACUUAGCAACUAAGUGACUUGAGUUAAAAAAUUUAGUAUGGAUUUUAAAUAAGAAAGUAUAUUGAAUAAUACAAUAGCUUUGCAUAGAGCUAAAUCGCUCAAGCCAAAGUUAUCAAACUCAGGUACCUAAUGGUGUGUACUUGCUUGUAAUUUAUUUGAUAUCCAGAGUUUGAGGUGACCAUAAUUGAUAAUGGGAAUCAAUGAUGAUAGUUUAUACAUAACAGAUGUUAAAAAUGAAGGUGCUUAUAGAUAUUUUAGCAUUUGCAAAGAAAUUUGAGCAGUCUGGUCCUGUGUGUGAGUGGUCAUAUUUAAUUGCAUUCAUUGAUGAAAAAUCAGUUUGAUGCGUAGUGUGAUUGUUUCAGUGAUAUUCAUCCCCUUGCCUCCUCUUCCCCCCUCCCUCUUUUUUUUUAAUACAUUUAAAGAACAUACUCAUUCUGACUCAAUGAUCCUUGUGGGUCCCUUCCAACUUGGGAGAUCUUAUGUUCUAAUAUUCCCAUAAAGUAAAAUCCAGUAAAACACUGUAAUGCUUAAUAAAGGUCUGCAUGACUAUGAAUAGGUUAUUUUCAAGGAAAGAAAAUAUUAUUUGAAGUCUCCUCUCUUCUGAAGGUUAUUCAUUUUGGAAAAAUCUCAGUGGAACUCAAUUCCAAGUUCCAACCUGUUGAAGUGUGUAGGUAGUCUCUUCCAAAGAAAUACUGGUAAGCACAUCUGAAAAUUCAACUGGUGAACCUCUCAAAAAUCCAUGCCUGACAUUCCAGUCGUUCUUGUCCACUGUUUUGAAUGGUCUAUGAAUUAGAUUAAAUAUCUUGAUUAUUCAAAGAAGUUUAGCGUAAUGACCUGCAAUUACUUUAAUGGCUUUGAAAUUCAAAAGAUAGGAAAGCACUAUGUUUCUUUAAAUGAACGUUAGGUAUAAAAUGUCUCUGACUGUCAUGAAAAGCCAAUUUUAUUGCUGUUUAAAUUAUUCAAAAUCAAUAUUUGACAUUAGGUAUAGUUAAGAAGUUUAUGAAGACAGAAGCAUCUAAGAGCUACCUUUUAAAAUACCGAAUAAUUACAUGUUGUUUUUAAAAUAACAGGUUAUUUACCAUGGAUCACUGCUUCAGAAAGUAGCAUCUUUAUUUCUUCUCAGCACUAAACUAUACAAAAGAAAGAUGAACUAAAUUUAAUCUCUUGAGUUUCUGCUUAAGCUCAUUUAUCCACUUUGAUUAUUGAAUAUUCCAAGUUAUAAUGAAUAGCAUUUAUAUUCACUUGUCAUCUACUGUUAUUAAUCAGUAAAACAAUACUAGGGAUUUGGCAUACAACCUUUAGUAGGAAACUUAUUUGACCAAGCGCUUGUUCAACAUAAAACAAUGUUAUAAAGUCUUGAGAGUAUAAAAAAUAAUUUUAAAAAAAUGCAUGUAACUUGAAUGUUAAGAGUUAUUUUAAUCCCUCUCUGAGGGGUACCAUGUUGGUCCAAGAUGGAACUGUUUGAGCAAGAGUUUGCAUCUACCCCAAAUAAACAGUUGACAUAUUUGGUCAACUCUUAUUCAAUUACAAUGUGGCAUACAAAGAAUACCUCUCAAUAAUUUGUAAUCCCUUGACAUUUGUGGUAGUAACACAUAACAUGAGCUUAAAUGCUUAUGGUCAGCUAAGGAGAAAACAGUCAUCAGAAGAGUUUCUCUUUAUGCAUAGGUGUAUGCUUCAUAAACCAGAAGAUACAAGAGUAGUCAGAGCUUUUCACCAUUUAUACAAAUAAGAUUGUUCAAAAGAAUAUUCUUGACUAUUGAAGUGGAGCAUGUCCCAAGACUACUGAGUCUUAAAUAAGUACGCUGUGGGAUACCUACAGAUAUUUAGCUAAAACCUAUCUGUUGGACACCAGAGUUUUUCUUCCUCUUUUCUUUCCUUCUUUUUUCAUUUCCCCUUCCUUUCUUUUGAAGGAAACCAAACAAGGUUUGUUUGGAAACCUUUGCUUUCCUAGGUUAAAAGCAUUAAGCGCUCACUUAGCUCUGGUCCCAAGCACCUGACUACCACUUGUCUUCCAGCCUGUAUGCACAGCCAGGAUUUCACCUUCCCAUGUGCAGAAUCCAGCAUUUGCUUUUGUUUAAUUUCAUACAGUUGGUGAUUACCAAGUACUCUAAUCUAUCCAGAUCUCUGCAGGGCCUCUCUACCCCAAAGAGAAUUGAUGGCUUCUCCCAGUCUCCCAGUUAUCAUCUACUGAAAAUGUAAGAUGAGAAUCUGGUUACAAGAAUGUGUUGGUAAGGCAAAAGAAUACAUGUCCAGACAACAGCACUGUGUGUGUUUGUCUGUGUAUCUCUUGAGCACUCUUGCACAUGCUCCUCAAUAUGAUGCAAGAAAAGAGCAAAAAAUAUCAUCUCCCUUUAAAUGGCUAGUACAUUCAUAUGCAUGAAACUGAGAGAUAGGAAAGGAAGAGUUUAAAAUCUUGGUAAUUGGCACUGAUGUGUUUUGAGGGGCAUGUAUGCAGCUGUUCCGCUGUCCAUUGAACAGUCCCUUGGAGUUGCUUACUGCAUUCUAGCUUCUGCUGUUGUGGAAAGAAACUGGCAACUGUCUUGAGCCACAUACCUGCCAGCCAGCACUUGUGGUAGAGUUAGUGUUGCAGCACUCUUUCUGUGUAUCCAUUUCUCUCUAAAUAUACUGUACAAGUCCAUGUCUUUGUAACUGGAGGAUGUCUUGGACAGCCUACACCUUUGCAGCAGUGUUUCAUAAUUGGGGGUUAUUCCAAAAUGGAAAUUACCUCUAAUACUCAAGUACACACUGCUUAAAAUAAGUCCAAAUUUUCAUAACAAUGGAGUAUAAUAUAAUUAAAAGGGAAGGUAUAAAACAGGAGUAUUUGGAUUCUUCUUCACAGGAAUUACAAUGUACUUUAAAAAAAAAAAGUCAAAAAGAAAAAAAAAUAAAGUCUCCACGGAAAUGAAAAAAAAAAAAGCCAACACCUUUUCUUACCAAUGGAAAAACUGGGGGAGCUUUUAAGUUCUGUGUUCAUCAGGCUUAUCUGUGUUCUCUGAAGUUCAGGGAGAUUAUGCUUGCUGGCAGAUUUUCAGUAAAGAUGACAUUUAGUAGUUUUGGCCAUUCAGAAACAAAACCAAAGAAAACAGUUUUCCUUUUUGCUG